UUAACGUCAUAUCCUUGAAAGCAAUCAAGAAUCCUGUGUUAUGCAUGCUGCCUCAAGGGCGCUACUUACAGUUUUAUGACGGGUUCAGCUGGGGUUCGAAACCAGAGCCUCAUUGCCUUUUUCCAAAGUGUUGACGCUCUAGUCCACUACACCCCACAUCCCCAAUCCCCAAUUAAUGGCGUGGAUCUCGAUGUCGUCCGCAAACAGUUCAGCUUGGCAGCUAGCGGGUGGUUGGGGGAAGUCGGACAUCAUAACAUUGAAAAGAAGAGGGCUUAAGACGCAUCCUUGUGGUACGCCUUUUAGGGUUGUUCUUUCCUCCGAAAAGGUGUUGCCUAUUUUAACUUAGAGUUUUCUGCCGUUGAGGAAGUGGUGCAGCCAUCGUAACAUAGUGCCUGCGACGUGCAUCUUAGUUAGUUUGUAGGUUAUGCCAGUUAUCCAGGUACUAGGGUAUGCGUUCGCCAGGUCGAGGAAUACUGCUGUGCAGAUCUUCUGAUGGUUGAAUGCUGACUUGAUUGACGACUCCAGUUUGAUGAUAUUAUCCAUCGUUGAACAGUUCUUCCUAAAUCCAGUUUGGCAUUUGGGAUGUGAGAGAGAUCGGCCUAUACGAAUCCGUUCUACUAGGGCCUUUUCCACUCUUGAGCAGAGGUACAACAGAAGCUCUUUUCCAAACGUGGGAGACGUAGCCGGUCAAGAAUAGGAUGUUAAUGAGACAGUUUGAUAUUUCGAACGAGGAGAAGGAGUUGUUGAGAGGGUGGGGGAGUCAUCUUGUAGGUGUCUAUUAAUCGCAGCGCUGUACAUUGGCUCUUCAGCUAACGGG
Long non-coding RNA from Daphnia pulicaria, 817 nucleotides. RefSeq lists it as uncharacterized. The transcript has 3 exons. The record is from RefSeq and is a predicted model, not a curated record. Lineage: Eukaryota; Metazoa; Arthropoda; Branchiopoda; Diplostraca; Daphniidae.